This is a non-coding RNA of Caenorhabditis elegans, 372 nucleotides long. Ensembl annotates it as ncRNA. Its record names the gene anr-6. Lineage: Eukaryota; Metazoa; Nematoda; Chromadorea; Rhabditida; Rhabditidae. The record is from Ensembl.
CGGAAAGAAGAAUUCCUUUCGUUGAUGUUGGAGCAGAUGGUGAUUUGAUAAUUUCACGAACCUUUGCUGAUGCAUCUUUUCCAAAACCAUGGCUUACUGGCGACAUCUGGACAAAUACGUGGCAGCGGGGUUUCAGAAUAUCCACAGCAUUCGAAUGGAUAGAGAAAGAAGCGAGAAGAAGCGCAUUUUCUUGUGAUAACGUCUUUAAAUGUGUGUAGAUUUUGUGCACGAAAAUGGUAGUUUCAACUGAAGUUGCUCCAAAUUGCUCCAAUAUUGAAAGAUCAUCGAAGAGAAUAACUGACGCAGAGGAAUCAAUUAAUUUCUGAAAAAUUUUGAGUUAAACAAUUUUUAUUCGAAAAAAGAUAUAUGCUG